This 441-nucleotide ribosomal RNA is filed under the name uncultured bacterium. RNAcentral describes it as "partial 16S ribosomal RNA". It matches the Rfam family "Bacterial small subunit ribosomal RNA", at positions 338 to 795 of the family's 1533-position model. The record is from RNAcentral.
CCUACGGGGGGCAGCAGUGGGGAAUAUUGGGCAAUGGGCGCAAGCCUGACCCAGCAACGCCGCGUGAAGGAAGAAGGCUUUCGGGUUGUAAACUUCUUUUAAGAGGGAAGAGCAGAAGACGGUACCUCUUGAAUAAGCCACGGCUAACUACGUGCCAGCAGCCGCGGUAAUACGUAGGGAGCGAGCGUUAUCCGGAAUUAUUGGGCGUAAAGGGUGCGUAGAUGGCAUAGUAAGUCUUUUGUAAAAAUGCUGGGCUCAACCCAGUAGGGCAAAAGAUACUGCAAAGCUAGAGUAUGACAGAGGCAAGUGGAACUACAUGUGUAGCGGUCAAAUGCGUAAAUAUAUGUAAGAACACCAGUGGCGAAGGCGGCUUGCUGGGUCGAUACUGACAUUGAGGCACGAAAGCGUGGGGAGCAAACAGGAUUAGAUACCCUUGUAGUC